This 544-nucleotide ribosomal RNA is filed under the name uncultured bacterium. Its description in RNAcentral is "bacterial SSU rRNA". It matches the Rfam family "Bacterial small subunit ribosomal RNA", at positions 8 to 526 of the family's 1533-position model. The record is from RNAcentral.
AGAGUUUGAUCAUGGCUCAGAACGAACGCUGGCGGCGUGGAUUAGGCAUGCAAGUCGAACGCGAAAGAGGGGGCAACCCCUCGAGUAGAGUGGCGAACGGGUGAGUAACACGUGAAGAACCUGCCUUCAACAGGGGGACAACACUCCCAACGGGGUGCUAAUACCGCAUGAGACCACGAGUCUGCAUGGACUCGAGGUCAAAGGUGGCCUCUGCUUGCAAGCUACCGGUUGAAGAUGGCUUCGCGUCCCAUUAGCUAGUUGGCGGUGUAACGGACCACCAAGGCGACGAUGGGUAGCUGGUCUGAGAGGAUGGUCAGCCACACUGGGACUGAGAUACGGCCCAGACUCCUACGGGAGGCAGCAGUCGAGAGGCUUUGUCAAUGGGGGAAACCCUGAACAAGCGACGCCGCGUGGAGGAUGAAGGCCCUUGGGUUGUAAACUCCUUUUGUUGGGGAAGAAAUGCGAUCAGGUGAACAAUCUGGUCGUUUGACGGUACCCGACGAAUAAGCUCCGGCUAACUCCGUGCUAGCCGCCGCGGUAAUAC